CAGGAUUUACCAUCAGAAACAGAACAGCUGACAAAGCUGCAAGUGAGCUGAAUCAGCUCCUCGCUGACACUGUUUAAUUAUUGAAUUAUUAUUUAGAUCUUAACAACGUUACUCUUCUGUUUUUAAGCAGGGACUGAGCUUAAACCCUGCAGAGACUCAGUCUGGACCAGGAACCAAUCAAUCCUGGGCUGGAGCUGAUGAUGGUGUUUCCUACGUCUCCAUCAGCUUCACCAAGAGGGCCAAGAACAAAGCCCGGUCCCGUGGUCAUGAUGAAGGUGACACUGUGACCUACAGCACUGUGAAAGCUUUCUCCUCUUCUGCUGGAGAUGAUCCCAACCACCUCUAUUCCACCAUCAGUGAUGUAAAGAAGUAGGAUGUUGCUCAUGAAAGGAGAUAUGUUAGAUGCUGUUUCACUUUUUAGAUGAGAGAGUGAAUGUGAAAAGUCAUGUGUUACUUUCAUGUCUGACGUGUGUUUUGUUUUGAACUGAUAACAUUAAUUGUUCUCUUAAGCGAACACACAUAGCUCUAUUUCUUCUUCUUCUUUUAUUUUUAUAAAUUCACUAUGAAAAUCACGAGGGCUACAUGUAUAAUAAGCAAAUUUAAAAUAUUAAAACAAGUGUUUUGUAAAGUCACUGAUAGAGCUGAGUCCAUCUC
Oreochromis niloticus (Nile tilapia) is the source of this 654-nucleotide long non-coding RNA. RefSeq lists it as uncharacterized. The transcript is spliced from 3 exons. NCBI's taxonomy places the organism in Eukaryota, Metazoa, Chordata, Actinopteri, Cichliformes, Cichlidae. The record is from RefSeq and is a predicted model, not a curated record.